GACCUGCUCCCUUCCUUCUCCCAGUGCCCAUGUGAAUCAUCUUGGGCUGUCAUGGAUAACAUAUUAUACCAAGAAGAAAAAUAACCCUCGGCAGCAGGAGUGGGAUUCUAGAAAGAAAGGAUAGAGCAAGUGUGUAUGAGAGAGAAUGGGGGAG
Molecule: long non-coding RNA, 154 nt
Organism: Hyaena hyaena (striped hyena)
Lineage: Eukaryota; Metazoa; Chordata; Mammalia; Carnivora; Hyaenidae
Exons: 3
Source: RefSeq, a predicted model, not a curated record